RNAcentral lists this ribosomal RNA (496 nucleotides) under uncultured bacterium. Its description in RNAcentral is "partial 16S ribosomal RNA". It matches the Rfam family "Bacterial small subunit ribosomal RNA", at positions 28 to 506 of the family's 1533-position model. The record is from RNAcentral.
GACGAACGCUGGCGGCGUGCCUAAUACAUGCAAGUUGAGCGAUGAAGAUUGGUGCUUGCCCCAAUUUGAAGAGCAGCGAACGGGUGAGUAACGCGUGGGGAAUCUGCCUUUGAGCGGGGGACAACAUUUGGAAACGAAUGCUAAUACCGCAUAACAACUUUAAACAUAAGUUUUAAGUUUGAAAGAUGCAAUUGCAUCACUCAAAGAUGAUCCCGCGUUGUAUUAGCUAGUUGGUGAGGUAAAGGCUCACCAAGGCGAUGAUACAUAGCCGACCUGAGAGGGUGAUCGGCCACAUUGGGACUGAGACACGGCCCAAACUCCUACGGGAGGCAGCAGUAGGGAAUCUUCGGCAAUGGACGAAGGUCUGACCGAGCAACGCCGCGUGAGUGAAGAAGGUUUUCGGAUCGUAAAACUCUGUUGGUAGAGAAGAACGUUGGUGAGAGUGGAAAGCUCAUCAAGUGACGGUAACUACCCAGAAAGGGACGGCUAACUACGU